GCUGGCGGCGUACCUAACACAUGCAAGUCGAACGAGAAAUUCCGAUUCGUCGGGAGAGUAAAGUGGCGAACGGGUGAGUAAGACGAGGGUUAAUUUGCCCUUGAGUUAGGGAUAACUUUGCGAAAGCGAAGCUAAUACCUGAUAAGACUACGAUCUCUUCGGAGAUAGUAGGAAAAGGUGGCCUCUGUUCAAGCUAUCGCUUGAGGAUGAGCCCUUGUACUAUUAGCUUGUUGGUGAGGUAAUGGCUCACCAAGGCAACGAUGGUUAGUUGGUCUGAGAGGAUGACCAACCACACUGGAACUGAGACACGGUCCAGACUCCUACGGGAGGCAGCAGUGAGGAAUAUUGCGCAAUGGGGGAAACCCUGACGCAGUGACGCCGCGUGAGUGAUGAAGGCUUUCGAGUCGUAAAGCUCUGUUAGGUGGAAAGAAAAAUUCCAGUGCCAAUACCACUGGGACUUGACGGUACCACCAGAGGAAGCACCGGCUAACUCCGUG
RNAcentral lists this ribosomal RNA (497 nucleotides) under uncultured bacterium. RNAcentral describes it as "bacterial SSU rRNA". It matches the Rfam family "Bacterial small subunit ribosomal RNA", at positions 35 to 507 of the family's 1533-position model. The record is from RNAcentral.